Molecule: long non-coding RNA, 268 nt
Filed under: Ananas comosus (pineapple)
Lineage: Eukaryota; Viridiplantae; Streptophyta; Magnoliopsida; Poales; Bromeliaceae
Description: long non-coding RNA (ACOM_LNC019320)
Source: RNAcentral
UAAAUGAUUAGUAUCGGAUCGUUGGCGCUAACCAUUAAUUCCAAAAGCUCGAACUGUUAGAAAUACGUAAUCAAUUCACUUAAAGCGUACAAAUACAGCACCCACGGAUCUCAAUUGUGACUCGGCUCAUCCGGGCUCACGCCACUUCGAACAUGACUCGGCCUAUUCAGCCUCACGCCAUUUCGAACAUGACUCGGCCCAACCCGGUCUUCCGUCAUAGGGCAGGAUGCUGGACCAUUUAAGUCAACAAUUAGAACUGCCAAGCACG